AGGCAGUCCUCGACUCUGGCUGGCAUCAAUUUAUUUUCAAUAAAGCAAAGCAAACAUUAUGAUGUAUUGGUCAUGAGUUAACUUUCUGAAUUGCAGGUAGAAGGAAAUGAACUGGAUAUCAACAAGCAUGGAGACAGGGAAUCCACUAGCGAGAAAACGUCUCCUUGGCCUCUGCAGUUCGUGCACGUUCCUGUAUUGAGUACCGACUGUAUACCAAGCCCUGAGCUAGGUGCUGAGGAUUCAAAGAGGCUGAGACAUGGCAGAAGGAGGCUGGACUAUAUUCAGAUUUGCCCAGAUUCCAACUUUUGUGCUCAGCACUACCUCCACCAUGGAAAUAAUUUUGCUUCAUUCUCCCAGAGCAGCCCCGGCAGGCAUCUGUGUUGUCAGCGUUGCAGGAAGAGUGAUGGCCACGGUGUUGACAAGCUCCUAAUUGGAAGGGCUGCACGGCAUGUCAAGACCCGUGGCCCUGUGCUGGUCCACAUACUAAAGAAACGUGAGUGAUGGGGCACCUGGGUGGCUCAGUGGGUUAAGCCGCUGCCUUCGGCUCGGGUCAUGAUCUCAGGGUCCUGGGAUCGAAUACAGCAUUGGGCUCUCUGCUCAGCGGGGAGCCUGCUUCCCUCUCUCUCUCUGCCUGCCUCUCUGCCUACUUGUGAUCUUUCUCUGUCAAAUAAAUAAAUAAAAUCUUUAAAAAAAAAAAAGAAAGAAAGAAAGAAAGAAAGAAACGUGAGUGAUUAGAAACCCCAAAGGGAAGCUGGUCCGCCUGUGCCUCUUCUCUAGAUAAUCCCCUCCUGGUGGCCAAACUCCCUCGCACACUCUGCUAACUCUGACCCCCUCCUCGACAUUUACCCGCCACCCCGUGAUGGGACCCUGCUGGUCCCAGUCCCUAAUUGGAGGUGAUGAGCCAUUUUCCUACCCACCACCCUGCAGAUAAUGGUGACAUCUAGAGCUCGAGGAUUGGGACUAAGGGCUCACAACUCGAUUACACCAGGAAAAUAGCAGAAGCAGCAGAGGAAAUGUCCAAGGUUCUACAGGCCCAUAUGACAAACAGAGGCGGCCCUUGAGGGUUUCGCUGAAGGGCAAAAAUCCCUAAGAGCCUACCCGGCACAUAACGCACCAGCUCCAGGUGGCUGGCUGCCCAGGAGCACGUAUGUGCUCUCAGGGGAACUUCCUGCUCUAUACGGAUAAAUAAAGUCAUCCAAAUCGCCCCACAAAUGCAACACCAAACCCAAACCAAAUUUUGCAUGAAGUACUCUGAACUUCCCAGGAACUUGGAUGUCCCCUGCAGGCUGAUGUGACCUUGU
Molecule: long non-coding RNA, 1301 nt
Filed under: Mustela putorius furo (domestic ferret)
Lineage: Eukaryota; Metazoa; Chordata; Mammalia; Carnivora; Mustelidae
Description: lncRNA (ENSMPUG00000026890.1)
Source: RNAcentral